Cercocebus atys (sooty mangabey) is the source of this 2948-nucleotide long non-coding RNA. RefSeq lists it as uncharacterized. The record is from RefSeq and is a predicted model, not a curated record. The transcript is spliced from 2 exons. NCBI's taxonomy places the organism in Eukaryota, Metazoa, Chordata, Mammalia, Primates, Cercopithecidae.
GGGGCAGGAGAAUCACUUGAACAUGGGAGGCAGAGGUUGCAAUGAGAGGGUGCCUAGGGAUGAAUCUAAUAAAACGUAUGCAAACAUUUAUGAAGAAUAAUGUAAAGUUUUAUUGAAGCCCAAUGUAAAGGAAGUGAUAUACCAUGUUCAUGAUUAAGAAGGCACAAUAUCAUAAAGAUGUAACUUCUGGCAUUAAGACGUAAAUUCAAUCUAGCUCCCAACACAAUUUUUUAGGAGAUCGAUAGGCUCAUCUAAAAUUCAUAUGAUGAGUAAAUGGCCAAGAAUAGCCACAACAAUUUUGAAGAAGGGUAUGGUGGUGUGAGAAUUAAUUUACCAGAUAACAAGACUUCGUAUAAAAUAUGGUAAUAAAGCAGUGGAGCACCAGGGCAGGAAUAGAUACCCAGAAAAAUGGGCCAGAAAAGCCUGGAUUAACAUUUGGGCAUAUGUAGACAAUCAGAAGACCACAAAGAUGGCAUAAAAGAUAAGCAGGAAAAGGAUGAGUUACUCAGAUACAAAUGGAUUCAUCAGGGAAAUAAAAAGUAAAAUAACAAUGCAUCAUUUUAUGCUCAUUGAAUUGUCAAACAUUAAAAUAUCUGACAGCAUCAGGUAAUGAUAAAGAUGAAGAAAAAUGGAAAUUACUACACUAAAGGUAAGGGUACACAUCAGUAAAACUACUGUGGAGAGGAAGAAAUUUGUCAGUAUCUAGGAAAUAUUAAGAUAUGCAUUUUAUAUGACCCAACAAUUCCACCUCUAGGUGUAUAUUUUGGAGAAACUUUUGCACAUAUUCCAAUGACACUGGCAUAGGAAUACUCAUUGCAUAGUCACUUAUGACAGUGAAAAUCAAAUGUUGCUAAACAGGGAGAUUAAUAAAUUGUAUAUAUGUGUAAAAUUAUAGCAGUGGUAUACACACAACUUUUGCCAUUUAUAGCAAUGAAAAUUAAAUAUUGAUAAAUAGGGAGAUUAAUAAAUUAUACGUAUGUAUACAAUUACAGCAGUUGUAUGCAUAAAGCAGUGGAAAUUAAAUGCUGAUAAAUAGGGAGCUUAAUAAUAUACAACUAAGCAGCUGGAGCUAUUUGUAUCCCCAAAACCCAAAGCCGAAUGAAAAAAAAUCAAAGUGCAUAAUGUUAUCUGCUAUUUUUUAUGCAAAACUCAUAAAUACCAAAGUAAUUGGUCAUGUUAUUUAAGGACAGAUAGAUUUGAGGCAAAUGCAUUUUAAAAAUAGCUGGGAAGGAUAUAUAAUAACUUUAGGAUUGUAGUUACUGCUGAAGAGAGAGGUAGAGAAUUUGGUUGUUGAGGUAUGUAAAUGACAGUAUCUGGGAUAUUAAAUGAAUGCUUGUUAAAAAAGGAACAGACAAGGCAAAGUAUGAAUAUUUAUAAGAUUUGGAUGUGGGUAAAUGAGUCUUUGUUAUGUUUUUCUGUAUAUUUUCAAGUAUUUGUGAAAUAUAUUAUGCAAUAAAUAAAAGAUCACAAAUGGAUGAUGAACUCACAGCUGGUUUUAAGUAACGACAUUGAAUAAUUCUAGUCAGGAAAACAUGAACAAAAGAAAAUGUGAAACUUUGGCCCCGAGAUUUGUGGCUUGUUGAAUGAAAGUUGAUCAUAUCUCAGGUUUGGAAACUUGGGAAAGUUGAUGGAAUCUCAGGUUUGGAAACUCUCCUUUUGAUUGUUCUUGGUUGUUCCCAGGAGAAGUUCCAAGAAACUUCUGGGAAAAAAAUGCCACCCAUAAGUGUCCUAAGAUAAAUGUUUUAGCAUGUGUCUGCACACUUUAUUUUCAGAGUUAAAAUGCAGUCCCCCCUCCUCCUUUUAAAAAAUCUAUUCUAAUACAUUUUGUUGUGGCAAAGAAGAAAAACUUGUUUCAAGUUAAAUUUUUCAUGUAAUGCAUAUUUCGCAUACAUAUAUAAAGACCUUCCAAAAACCAUUGCUCACGUAAUAAUUUAUUAAGUCAAUUUCAGCUAAACAUUGCUACCAUUGCAAAAGCAUUUGCUCUGAAAAGGGACUGAAAAAUGCAUCAUAAAGUUACAUAGUUCAGCAACAAUAUCAGUAUUGAUUAUGUAAAGUAAAACUACUGGCAAAUGUCAUUUAAGCUUACCCUGUAAUUUUUAAUAACUUUAUAAUGAGCAAAUGUGUCACCUUAAAAAUGUACCAGUGGCAUUUACAAAUUCUUUCAAACUCAUUUACAAAUACAGUAAUAAAAAUUCCUGAGCUCCCUUUUCUUACACCAGUGUUCACCAACCAACAUCCAUGUAGUGUUUUAUUUGACCGACAUCCUCUUUCUUUUUCUUAAGAAAAUAUUUUAUCACAUUCGUAAAGGUAUCUGUGCUUCCAGUCAGUUUGUAAGUAUCUGUUUUUAAUGUGAACCUGAUCAUAACAAGAGAAAAAUGCUUAACAUUAGCAGGGGCAACAGGAAUUGAGGGGCGGUGUGGGGGAUGGUGGAGGAGAUGUAGAUACAAGAAUUCCAGUUUAGGUAUUGGGACCUCCAAAGUAGAAUGCAUCUGACAGUAUCAAAAACAGGCUCAGUUUCAUCUGCAUGGUUUUGAGGGACUUUCAAAGGUAAAGCCAGCAAAAGUUACUCUGCAUAUUCUGGCCAGGAAGGUCCCUGUUGGGGGUUUUUCAAUAAUUCUAUUUCUUAUCCUUCUCCUCUGUCCCCCUACUGCUCCCUUACCCCAACAUUUCAAAGUUUCUAUUAAAUAGAAGUUGCAUCUUUCAGCCCCGAAAAAACUGGGGAGAUUUACAAGGUGUAAAACUUGAUUAGUAAGUUGUAGGAAACCUGACAAGGUUAAGGUGUCAGAUGGGAAUCUGGCAAGAUGUGGCAAUAUUUAAUUUCUGUUUUCUUUCGGGAAAGUAUAUUCAAUGCUUUUGAAAAAUUAGUUACAUAUUACUUCUCCAGCUCACCAUUAAUUAUAUAGAUCCUGUGUCUGGUGACUGAGACUUCAAAUUUUGCACCUUAAAAA